GACCUGGAUAUGGGUAGUCUAUCCAUGACUAGGAUGAAGCUUGGGUGAAAUUAAGUUGAGGUCUGAACCGAUUAAUAUUGAAGAAUCAGCGGAUGAAUUGUGGUUAAAGGUGAAAUGCCAUUCGAACUCAGAGCUAGCUGG
Gossypium raimondii (Peruvian cotton) is the source of this 141-nucleotide ribosomal RNA. It matches the Rfam family "Bacterial large subunit ribosomal RNA", at positions 712 to 852 of the family's 2925-position model. The record is from Rfam. NCBI's taxonomy places the organism in Eukaryota, Viridiplantae, Streptophyta, Magnoliopsida, Malvales, Malvaceae.